This 23-nucleotide microRNA is filed under the name Dasypus novemcinctus (nine-banded armadillo). RNAcentral's name for it is "dno-miR-381-5p". Its record names the gene dno-miR-381-5p. Lineage: Eukaryota; Metazoa; Chordata; Mammalia; Cingulata; Dasypodidae. The record is from miRBase by way of RNAcentral.
AGCGAGGUUACCCUUUGUGUAUU